RNAcentral lists this ribosomal RNA (305 nucleotides) under uncultured bacterium. RNAcentral describes it as "bacterial SSU rRNA". It matches the Rfam family "Bacterial small subunit ribosomal RNA", at positions 337 to 658 of the family's 1533-position model. The record is from RNAcentral.
UCCUACGGGACGCAGCAGUGGGGGAUAUUGGACAAUGGGGGGGAACCCUGAUGCAGCGACGCCGCGUGAGUGAUGAAGUAUUUCGGUAUGUAAAGCUCUAUCAGCAGGGAAGAUAAUGACGGUACCUGACUAAGAAGCUCCGGCUAAAUACGUGCCAGCAGCCGCGGUAAUACGUAUGGAGCAAGCGUUAUCCGGAUUUACUGGGUGUAAAGGGAGCGUAGACGGUUGUAUAAGUCUGGAGUGAAAGCCCGGGGCCCAACCCCGGGACUGCUUUGGAAACUGUGUAACUUGAGUACAGGAGGGGC